This 589-nucleotide ribosomal RNA is filed under the name Salmonella enterica subsp. enterica serovar Liverpool. RNAcentral describes it as "bacterial LSU rRNA". It matches the Rfam family "Bacterial large subunit ribosomal RNA", at positions 621 to 1211 of the family's 2925-position model. Lineage: Bacteria; Pseudomonadati; Pseudomonadota; Gammaproteobacteria; Enterobacterales; Enterobacteriaceae. The record is from RNAcentral.
CAGCGACUUAUAUUCUGUAGCAAGGUUAACCGUAUAGGGGAGCCGGAGGGAAACCGAGUCUUAAUUGGGCGUUAAGUUGCAGGGUAUAGACCCGAAACCCGGUGAUCUAGCCAUGGGCAGGUUGAAGGUUGGGUAACACUAACUGGAGGACCGAACCGACUAAUGUUGAAAAAUUAGCGGAUGACCUGUGGCUGGGGGUGAAAGGCCAAUCAAACCGGGAGAUAGCUGGUUCUCCCCGAAAGCUAUUUAGGUAGCGCCUCGUGAAUUCAUCUCCGGGGGUAGAGCACUGUUUCGGCUAGGGGGCCAUCCCGGCUUACCAACCCGAUGCAAACUGCGAAUACCGGAGAAUGUUAUCACGGGAGACACACGGCGGGUGCUAACGUCCGUCGUGAAGAGGGAAACAACCCAGACCGCCAGCUAAGGUCCCAAAGUCAUGGUUAAGUGGGAAACGAUGUGGGAAGGCCCAGACAGCCAGGAUGUUGGCUUAGAAGCAGCCAUCAUUUAAAGAAAGCGUAAUAGCUCACUGGUCGAGUCGGCCUGCGCGGAAGAUGUAACGGGGCUAAACCAUGCACCGAAGCUGCGGCAGCGA